Long non-coding RNA from Oncorhynchus kisutch (coho salmon), 690 nucleotides. RefSeq lists it as uncharacterized. The record is from RefSeq and is a predicted model, not a curated record. Lineage: Eukaryota; Metazoa; Chordata; Actinopteri; Salmoniformes; Salmonidae. The transcript is spliced from 3 exons.
ACCCAGUGCCUUCUGACCUUCUCCCACCCAGACAGUUGUCCAGUUCUGUGCCUGAAACACUCUGCCUCUUUCCUGUUCGCUGGGCUGGGGAAUGGAAAAGUUGCAGUUUACGCUCGGAAGAGUGGAGCUCGUUCCAGUCGCUAGCUGCGGCGAACUGAAAAAAGGAGCGCUAAAGGUGAUCUCAAUUGUAACCAUCAAUUUCCACGAUUUAGCGCUCCCUAAAGCAGAUGUGACUGUGGGCAGUGGCCCCAUCCGCACCCUCCUAAUCCUGGAGAACACUUUGUGAGUUGUGCCAACUUCGUCACCGUCAUCCAGGGCUCCAGCUUCCACCUCCAGGUUCGAGGCGUACCUAGAGCACCUACAUGAGAUCACCAGCACGAGAUCAACACGCUCCAUAUUCCUCAGCCCAUGCAAGUACAGUAUAGAAGGUCACAGGUCACCGACUGCUUUUUUCACUCACAUUAUUCACUUACAUUAUUCAAAUCAACCCCCUAGACACUUGUGUAGGUCUAAAAUAAUUGUAUACAGGUAUGAACAAUCUGGUAAUAGGUUCACAUUGCCCUAUGUAAGGCUACGUGUAUUUUUUCCCCCCUAUUAAUCAUAUGUAUUCAUAGAGGCUAAGGUUGGAUGUGGGAGUGGGAAGCUGCAAUGUUGACAUGAACAGAAGGAAGUGACAGAAUGGUGGUUGUG